AGCCUUGUGGUGGAGUGCCCACGUCGGAUUGCAAAUCCGGAGACGCAGAGUAAUACCCUGCCGGGGCUU
Molecule: transfer RNA, 69 nt
Filed under: Hybopsis lineapunctata (lined chub)
Lineage: Eukaryota; Metazoa; Chordata; Actinopteri; Cypriniformes; Leuciscidae
Description: tRNA-Cys
Rfam family: tRNA
About the family: Transfer RNA (tRNA) molecules are approximately 80 nucleotides in length.
Source: RNAcentral